RNAcentral lists this ribosomal RNA (253 nucleotides) under uncultured bacterium. RNAcentral's name for it is "partial 16S ribosomal RNA". It matches the Rfam family "Bacterial small subunit ribosomal RNA", at positions 524 to 776 of the family's 1533-position model. The record is from RNAcentral.
UACGUAGGGGGCAAGCGUUGUCCGGAUUUAUUGGGCGUAAAGCGCGUGUAGGCGGCUGGGUAGGUCCGCUGUGAAAACUCGAGGCUCAACCUCGAGAGGUCGGUGGAAACCAUCCAGCUAGAGUCCGGAAGAGGAGAAUGGAAUUCCUGGUGUAGCGGUGAAAUGCGCAGAUAUCAGGAAGAACACCCGUGGCGAAGGCGGUUCUCUGGGACGGUACUGACGCUGAGACGCGAAAGCGUGGGGAGCGAACAGG